UGAACGCUGGCGGCGUGCCUAAUACAUGCAAGUCGAGCGAACAGAUGAGGAGCUUGCUCCUCUGACGUUAGCGGCGGACGGGUGAGUAACACGUGGAUACCUACCUAUAAGACUGGGAUAACUUCGGGAAACCGGAGCUAAUACCGGAAAAUAUAUUGAACCGCAUGGUUCAAUAGUGAAAGACGGGUUUGCUGGCACUUAUAGAUGGAUCCGCGCCGCAUUAGCUAGUUGGUAAGGUAACGGCUUACCAAGGCAACGAUGCGUAGCCGACCUGAGAGGGUGAUCGGCCACACUGGAACUGAGACACGGUCCAGACUCCUACGGGAGGCAGCAGUAGGGAAUCUUCCGCAAUGGGCGAAAGCCUGACGGAGCAACGCCGCGUGAGUGAUGAAGGUCUUCGGAUCGUAAAACUCUGUUAUUAGGGAAGAACAAAUGUGUAAGUAACUAUGCACGUCUUGACGGUACCUAAUCAGAAAGCCACGGCUAACUACGUG
This 494-nucleotide ribosomal RNA is filed under the name uncultured bacterium. RNAcentral's name for it is "partial 16S ribosomal RNA". It matches the Rfam family "Bacterial small subunit ribosomal RNA", at positions 30 to 507 of the family's 1533-position model. The record is from RNAcentral.